AGUCAAUAGAUACCCGGGUAGUCCACGCCCUAAACGAUGACAACUGGCUUUAAGGAGUAUCGACCCUCUUUGAGGCGAAAGCUAAACGCGUUAAGUUGUCCGCCUGGGUAGUACGAUCGCAAGAUUAAAACUCAAAGGAAUAGACGGGGACUUGCACAAGCGGUGGAUCAUGCGGCUCAAUUCGAUGACAAACGAAGAACCUCACCAGGGUUUGAAACCCAGACGAUCGCUCUAGGAAACUAGAGCUUCCGCAAGGCGGCUGGGCAGGUGAUGCAUGGUCGUCGUCAGUUCGUGGCUUGAGUUGUUCCCUUCAGUGGGGUAACGAACGCAACCCUCGUUGCCUGUUUUAUAUGUCAGGCGAGACUGCCCCCUCACGGGGGAGGAAGGUGAGGAUGACGCCAGAUCAGCAUGUCCCUCUGAUAUCCUGGGCUGCACGCAUGAUACAAUGGACGAGACAACGCGACGCGACGGGGUAACCCGUGAGCAAACUCGUAAUAAACCUCGUCCCCACGUUCGGAUUGAGGGCUGCAACUCGCCCUC
Molecule: ribosomal RNA, 540 nt
Filed under: uncultured bacterium
Lineage: Bacteria
Description: bacterial SSU rRNA
Rfam family: Bacterial small subunit ribosomal RNA
Source: RNAcentral